UACGUAGGGGGCAAGCGUUGUUCGGAUUUACUGGGCGUAAAGGGCGCGUAGGCGGCGUGACAAGUCACUUGUGAAAUCUCCGGGCUUAACUCGGAACUGCCAAGUGAUACUGUCGUGCUAGAGUGCAGAAGGGGCAAUCGGAAUUCUUGGUGUAGCGGUGAAAUGCGUAGAUAUCAAGAGGAACACCUGAGGUGAAGACGGGUUGCUGGGCUGACACUGACGCUGAGGCGCGAAAGCUAGGGGAGCAAACGGG
RNAcentral lists this ribosomal RNA (253 nucleotides) under uncultured bacterium. RNAcentral's name for it is "partial 16S ribosomal RNA". It matches the Rfam family "Bacterial small subunit ribosomal RNA", at positions 524 to 776 of the family's 1533-position model. The record is from RNAcentral.